GAGGAGGUGGUUUAAUUAGAUGCAAGCGGAAUAUCCUUACCUGCACUAUCUUCCUUGGAAUUUCCAAAAGAGGCUUUGGUCCCUUCGGGAACCUUGAGCCAGGUUCUGCAUGCCAGUCGUCAACCCUUGUUGUGAAAAUUUGGGUUAAGUCCCGCAACGAGCCCAACCCUUAUCCUUUUUGCCAACCGGUUAGGUCGGGAACUCAAAGGAGACUGCCGGUGAUAAACCGGAGGAAGGUGGGGAUGACGUCAAGUCAUCAUGGCCCUUACGAGUAGGGCUACACACGUGUUACAAUGGCCCAUACAAAGAGAAGCCACCUCGCGAGACCAAGCUUAACUCACAAAGUGCGUCGUAGUCCGGACCGCACUCUGCAACUCGACUGCGUGAAGUCGGAAUCGCUAGUAAUACG
This 409-nucleotide ribosomal RNA is filed under the name uncultured Pantoea sp. Its description in RNAcentral is "bacterial SSU rRNA". It matches the Rfam family "Bacterial small subunit ribosomal RNA", at positions 935 to 1345 of the family's 1533-position model. Lineage: Bacteria; Pseudomonadati; Pseudomonadota; Gammaproteobacteria; Enterobacterales; Erwiniaceae. The record is from RNAcentral.